AAGGCACGGUAAGAAAAUAACAAAAAUUCACAAUCGCUGCAACAAUAAAACGACACUAGAAUUCAAUAAUCCCCAGUAAGUUAAAUAUUUUACGAACUAUGUCAAAUCUCGAGUAACUCAAAGAAAAACUUACCUCUUGCGGUUGGCCUGUGUUGCUUUCUUCGCCUGUUGCCGCCGCCUGUUCUGAUGGCACUAAGAAAUGAACCAAAAGCUUUACUAUUCUUCUGUAAGUACCAGCCAGCAAUGAAUGCAAUACAAAUACAUGGAAAUAAAUGCUCAAGGAAUCAAGGCACGGUAA
This is a long non-coding RNA of Nematostella vectensis (starlet sea anemone), 298 nucleotides long. RefSeq lists it as uncharacterized. The record is from RefSeq and is a predicted model, not a curated record. The transcript has 2 exons. NCBI's taxonomy places the organism in Eukaryota, Metazoa, Cnidaria, Anthozoa, Actiniaria, Edwardsiidae.